This 525-nucleotide ribosomal RNA is filed under the name Triticum aestivum (bread wheat). Its description in RNAcentral is "partial small subunit ribosomal RNA". The record is from RNAcentral. Lineage: Eukaryota; Viridiplantae; Streptophyta; Magnoliopsida; Poales; Poaceae.
AUGUCCAACUACAUGUUUUACUUGCUUUUCAUCCGUACUGAGAUGCUAUUGCCCGGCACCAGACCGGGUCUCUCCACCGUCGCGGUAUAUGAUCUAGAGGACAUCUUGAAGACCAGCAAUGCAAAUGUCGAGGAUGAAGAAGCACUUGCUCAAGAGAUAGUUAAACACACGACCGGGGAUACCCUGAUUCAUGAAGCUUGCAGGCUUGCUGUGUCACUGAUGAAGCUGCAGGAAGAGGAGAUGUGGCAGAUAAUCCAGGGCAUGUGGGUGGAGAUGCUCUGCUACUUGGCUAGUAGAAGCAGAGGGUUCCUGCACGCCAAGACCCUGGGUGAAGGCGGGGAAUACCUCUCCUAUGUAUGGCUCCUUUGGUCAUGCAUGGGGAUGCAGACCUUGGCAGAUAAGAUCCACAAGCCCGAAUCUCCGGAAGAAAAAGAGAUCCUUGUCACGGCCGACGAUUGGGCUUCUCCAUCCAACGACAGACUCAAUCACGAAACUUCAACUACACGUAUCCUUAGCCUGGUGUGA